Neopsephotus bourkii (Bourke's parrot) is the source of this 617-nucleotide long non-coding RNA. RefSeq lists it as uncharacterized. NCBI's taxonomy places the organism in Eukaryota, Metazoa, Chordata, Aves, Psittaciformes, Psittacidae. The record is from RefSeq and is a predicted model, not a curated record. The transcript is spliced from 3 exons.
UACUGCAGGGAGCAGGCAGUUAUCGCACAAGCGUGCAUCCUCAGAGCCAGGAUAAACACUCCGUUACUCUCCCUCUAAACUGCUCUUCUGGGAGGGAGAGAAAAUAAAUAGGGAGCGAGAGAGGCAUUUGAAGUAACCUUCUUAAGGAGGAGGAAGCAGCCAAUAGAACCUUUUUUCUUUUUUUGUUGUGUUCUUUUUUUUUUCUCCCCCACUUCUUACUAAAGAAAUUCGUGUUACCUCAGCAAUUAAGGAGAAGAGCCAGCGUCUAGGGUUCCAGGCUGUGAGGGGGAGUAGCAACUUGUACCAGCAGUAUAGCUCUGUCACACUCUUCAGCUGAGCCUGUGGGAGAUGAAGAGAGACUUCCUCGGGCCUUCAGAAAGGGAAGAAGUUUGGAAGUAAUAAUUAGGUGAGUUUGAAAGAAGCAACUGCAGCAGCAUUUUGUUAUGAAUCCCUUUGUCACAGGAUUUGAGGUUCCAAUUAAAACUGUGUUUGGGCCAUUGCUUUGCCUGCCAGUACUUAAUCUUUCCUGAAAGCCUCAUCACUUAUCUAAAACAGAAGAACGAGGUAAGGAGAGAAAGUAAUGAAAUGCAGCAUAACGCAUCUGUCAAAGGAACAGA